UCCUUGGCAGGAGCCAGUCAGGACAGGGCGCAUGCUUGGAAUGGAAGAAGAUGUGCUGAGCGGAUAAACGACCCUACAAACGGCAUACAGUAUUCUUGCGGCAAAAUGUGACCCGGAGAUGACAACACGGUUUUGCAAUUCUUGAGACUGCGGCCCUGAUCUAAGGGCUCGUAAUUUGAAAUCUGAAAACCUGGGUCUGAGGAAGUCUUUCUGCGGUGACUCUACACUUCCUUGAAGAAAAAGGCCUCCAGCGUCCUAAUUUUCGUCUGUCCAACAUAUUUGACCAGCAAUAUCAAUGGUAGAAAAAUUUGAAAUUCAAGCCUCUGGACGCUUUCUCUGUUUUGGAAGAAAAAUCGGAAGGGCUUGAACAGAGUCGUCGGAGCAGGACCUCAGACAAACAGGGCAUCUGCAUUCCUCUCGCCGCCCACCUUCCCGUGAUGAGCAACUCAAGGACCAAACAAUCACGGUCGACUCCCCUCCGU
Molecule: long non-coding RNA, 482 nt
Organism: Alexandromys fortis (reed vole)
Lineage: Eukaryota; Metazoa; Chordata; Mammalia; Rodentia; Cricetidae
Exons: 3
Source: RefSeq, a predicted model, not a curated record